GAUGCGAGCUUCGUUUCUAAUUGGGCAUGAUGUCGGGCUCACUGUAUCAAUUGGAGCAUGCAUAGUAGUCUCUGAACAUUCUGGUUUAGAAUUCUAUUUUUGUUCGGCAACCUUCAAAACAGAGAGGUCACAAUUCCGUUCCGAUCACUUUAUGGACCUAUUUCCACCUUUUGCUCUCCGGCCCUGCUUACACUUUUCUGCAAUACCUAAAUCUAGCUUUGAGAUUCAACAACAGUUGUUUAGUGGAUGCAAGGUUUUUGUGGGUAAUAUUUUCUGAUGGCGCAAAAUGUAUGACAUUACUGCUAUGCAUCAAAAUCAUUCAGAAGGGUUUAAGGUUUCAGAAAAAGGACAAUAUUCUCUUCACAAUGAACUUGGUCAAAGCACAUAAUGCAAUUUAUCUAUGUAGUGGAAUUUGUUAUCGGCUAGAGGGAGUUAUGGGUUUAGAGCUUAAAAUAAUUGCUUAUUGUCUAUUAUUGCUACAGAUUGAAAUGUUUUCUUCUAGAUACUCAAGCAUGGGAGGCAGCAUGGAUUUAUUUAUGAAAGGUGGCAGACACAACCAUGAGGUGUUCACGCACAUUUACCUGCAUUCUUAUCUUGACCAUGGGAGCCAAUUCUGAUACAUGCCGACAGUACAGAAAUGUACGAUCAUGAGAGAGAGGACUAAGGCUAUAGAAUUUGUGACUAUGUAUAAGGGCUCUUCAUCAAGUGUGUGCACUGUACUUUAUGAAUUUUUAUUUGUGAAUUUUUUCAUGAUAUGUUGCACACUGUCGCAGAAUGUAACAUGAAAAAGAAUUAAUGUUUUGGAUGGAUUCUCUGAGAUGCCUGAC
This 827-nucleotide long non-coding RNA is filed under the name Triticum aestivum (bread wheat). RNAcentral describes it as "long non-coding RNA (TAES_LNC001618)". Lineage: Eukaryota; Viridiplantae; Streptophyta; Magnoliopsida; Poales; Poaceae. The record is from RNAcentral.